RNAcentral lists this ribosomal RNA (404 nucleotides) under uncultured bacterium. Its description in RNAcentral is "bacterial SSU rRNA". It matches the Rfam family "Bacterial small subunit ribosomal RNA", at positions 355 to 776 of the family's 1533-position model. The record is from RNAcentral. RNAcentral also lists the same sequence under 1 other name.
UGGGGGAUAUUGCGCAAUGGGGGAAACCCUGACGCAGCAACGCCGCGUGGAGGAAGAAGGUUUUCGGAUUGUAAACUCCUUUUGUCAGGGACGAUAGUGACGGUACCUGACGAAUAAGCUCCGGCUAACUACGUGCCAGCAGCCGCGGUAAUACGUAGGGAGCGAGCGUUGUCCGGAUUUACUGGGUGUAAAGGGCGUGUAGGCGGACUUUUAAGUCAGCCGUGAAAUCUACGGGCUUAACCCGUAGCCUGCGGUUGAAACUGAAAGCCUUGAGUGGUGGAGAGGAAAGCGGAAUUCCUAGUGUAGCGGUGAAAUGCGUAGAUAUUAGGAGGAACACCAGUGGCGAAGGCGGCUUUCUGGACACUAACUGACGCUGAGGCGCGAAAGCGUGGGGAGCAAACAGG